UAGAGUUUGAUCAUGGCUCAGAUUGAACGCUGGCGGCAUGCUUUACACAUGCAAGUCGAACGGUAACAGGGAGCUUGCUCCGCUGACGAGUGGCGAACGGGUGAGUAAUAUAUCGGAACGUACCCAAGAGUGGGGGAUAACGUAGCGAAAGUUACGCUAAUACCGCAUACGAUCCAAGGAUGAAAGCAGGGGAUCUUCGGACCUUGUGCUCCUGGAGCGGCCGAUAUCUGAUUAGCUAGUAGGUAGGGUAAAGGCCUACCUAGGCGACGAUCAGUAGCUGGUCUGAGAGGACGACCAGCCACACUGGAACUGAGACACGGUCCAGACUCCUACGGGACGCAGCA
This 344-nucleotide ribosomal RNA is filed under the name uncultured bacterium. RNAcentral describes it as "bacterial SSU rRNA". It matches the Rfam family "Bacterial small subunit ribosomal RNA", at positions 1 to 353 of the family's 1533-position model. The record is from RNAcentral.